This 466-nucleotide ribosomal RNA is filed under the name uncultured bacterium. RNAcentral's name for it is "partial 16S ribosomal RNA". It matches the Rfam family "Bacterial small subunit ribosomal RNA", at positions 28 to 507 of the family's 1533-position model. The record is from RNAcentral.
GAUGAACGCUGGCGGCGUGCUUAACACAUGCAAGUCGAACGAUGAAGCCCAGCUUGCUGGGUGGUUUAGUGGCGAACGGGUGAGUAACACGUGAGUAACCUGCCUUUGACUCUGUGCUAAGCCUGGGAGACUGGGUCUAAUUCUUGCUAUGUCUUCUUAUCGUAUGUUGUGGGGUUGGAAGAUUUAUCGGUUUUGGAUGGACUCGCGGCCUAUCAGCUUGUUUGUGCGGUAAUGGCUAACCAAGGCGACGAGGGGUAGCCGGCGCUAGAGGGUGUCCGGCGACACUGCGACUAAGACACGCCCCAGACUCGUAUGGGCGGCAGCAGUGGGGAACAUUGCACAAUGAGCGCAAGUCUGACGCAGCGACCCCGCGUGUGGGAGGACGGCCUUCGAGUUGUAAACCUCUUUCAGAAGAGAUGGAGCGAGAGUGACGGUACCUGCAAAAGAAGCGCCGGCUAACUACGUG